CCUACGGGUGGCUGCAGUGGGGAAUAUUGGACAAUGGGGGCAACCCUGAUCCAGCCAUGCCGCGUGUGUGAAGAAGGCCCUCGGGUUGUAAAGCACUUUCAGUGAGGAAGAACGCCUGGUGGUUAAUACCCAUCAGGAAAGACAUCACUCACAGAAGAAGCACCGGCUAACUCCGUGCCAGCAGCCGCGGUAAUACGGAGGGUGCGAGCGUUAAUCGGAAUUACUGGGCGUAAAGCGCGCGUAGGUGGCUUGAUAAGCCGGUUGUGAAAGCCCCGGGCUCAACCUGGGAACGGCAUCCGGAACUGUCAAGCUAGAGUGCAGGAGAGGAAGGUAGAAUUCCCGGUGUAGCGGUGAAAUGCGUAGAGAUCGGGAGGAAUACCAGUGGCGAAGGCGGCCUUCUGGACUGACACUGACACUGAGGUGCGAAAGCGUGGGUAGCUAACAGGAUUAGAUACCCUGGUAGUC
This 465-nucleotide ribosomal RNA is filed under the name Vreelandella stevensii. Its description in RNAcentral is "partial 16S ribosomal RNA". It matches the Rfam family "Bacterial small subunit ribosomal RNA", at positions 338 to 795 of the family's 1533-position model. The record is from RNAcentral. Lineage: Bacteria; Pseudomonadati; Pseudomonadota; Gammaproteobacteria; Oceanospirillales; Halomonadaceae.